UCAGUAUCGACAGUUUAAAGAAAAAUAAUUUUUUUAUCUCUAUUUAUCUGCAAUCGGCUAUAUAGGUAGCCAUAAUCAGAUGUGUGCCAAAGAAUUCGAGAUGUGGAUGACAUUGCAUUAAAUGUCAUCAAUUACAGCAGUAAAUUAAGUUUUUUUUGUCUAAAUCUAAAAUUUGCCAUCUCUGCCAACCACGGUCGAUGUGCAGUAUUUAUCGUCGGGUAGGUACUGUAAUUCUUUUGUCGGAGUGUUUAAUAGUGAACUCUGUGAAGUGAACUGGUCUGAUCUAGUGAACUGAUGUAGUUUUUGUGUGUGCUCCAGUAGAAUCUGACAAUGUUUUAGAUACACGAUGCGAUAUUAUAAUAAAUAAAAAUUUCAAUAAAAUGCUCUUCAAAACGUGCCGUUUACAGGAGCAAUGAGAAACUAAUCGAAGUGAAGCCAUCUAGUGGCCGACGCCCGUAAACAUUUUUGUUUUAACACGCUUUCAAUAGUUUCGAAGAACUUCAAGACAUCAAGAUUAAGUAGAAAAAUUAGCGCACACAUCAACACAGAACGCCAAUGCUACAAUUUUAUUACUUAGUUCUAAUAAAAGAAAAUCAGCAAAUAAUAUAAUUUACGUAAUUAUUGGUGGUAAAGUUUAAUACACUUAUAAAACUUACUGAAAUAAAUAUAAUUAAAGGUACAAAAAUGGAUUCAAUCACACAAAUAAUGCUAAUAUUCCCAAUGAUAAUUACUUAACGCAUUCUUCUGCCUUUCAUAUGAUUGACAUCCAGAUUAUGCCAUAGACAAUAAAUGAGAUCAUAAAAAUUGUCCAUGUAAGGUUAAUAAAUAAAUUAGAAGCCAAUAAAACCUA
This is a long non-coding RNA of Bombyx mori (domestic silkworm), 850 nucleotides long. RefSeq lists it as uncharacterized. The record is from RefSeq and is a predicted model, not a curated record. Lineage: Eukaryota; Metazoa; Arthropoda; Insecta; Lepidoptera; Bombycidae. The transcript has 3 exons.